GAUGAAGAACGCAGCGAAAUGCGAUACUUGGUGUGAAUUGCAGAAUCCCGUGAACCAUCGAGUCUUUGAACGCAAGUUGCGCCCGAAGCCAUUAGGCCGAGGGCACGCCUGCCUGGGCGUCACACGUCGUUGCCCCCCCCAUCUACUCCUUCGGGAUUGCGGGGGGCGGAUGAUGGCCUCCCGUGCGCCUCGCCGCGCGGUUGGCAUAAAUGCCAAGUCCUCGGCGACGCACGCCACGACAAUCGGUGGUUGCGAAACCUCGGUUGCCCGUCGUGUGCGGUCGUCGCGCAUCGAGGGCUCGAAAAAAUUGCCGAGUUCCGGCUCGGCUUUCAACGCGACCCCAGGUCAGGCGGGGUUACCCGCUGAAUUUAAGCAUAUCAAUAAGCGGAGG
Molecule: unclassified non-coding RNA, 391 nt
Filed under: soil metagenome
Description: partial contains 5.8S ribosomal RNA, internal transcribed spacer 2, and large subunit ribosomal RNA
Rfam family: 5.8S ribosomal RNA (bases 1-122)
Source: RNAcentral